This 253-nucleotide ribosomal RNA is filed under the name uncultured bacterium. RNAcentral's name for it is "partial 16S ribosomal RNA". It matches the Rfam family "Bacterial small subunit ribosomal RNA", at positions 524 to 776 of the family's 1533-position model. The record is from RNAcentral.
GACGGAGGGUGCAAGCGUUGCUCGGAAUCAUUGGGCGUAAAGGGUGCGUAGGCGGCCCCUCGAGUCUGCCGUGAAAGCCCAGGGCUCAGCCCUGGAAGGGCGGUAGAGACUGGGGGGCUGGAGUGCCGGAGGGGAGAGUGGAAUUCCCGGUGUAGCGGUGAAAUGCGUAGAUAUCGGGAGGAAUACCGGUGGCGAAAGCGACUCUCUGGACGGCAACUGACGCUGAGGCACGAAAGCGUGGGGAGCAAACAGG